RNAcentral lists this ribosomal RNA (505 nucleotides) under uncultured Lachnospiraceae bacterium. RNAcentral describes it as "partial 16S ribosomal RNA". Lineage: Bacteria; Bacillati; Bacillota; Clostridia; Lachnospirales; Lachnospiraceae. The record is from RNAcentral.
CACGUAGUUAGCCGGGGCUUCUUACUCAGGUACCGUCACUUUCUUCCCUGCUGAUAGAGCUUUACAUACCGAAAUACUUCUUCACUCACGCGGCGUCGCUGCAUCAGGGUUUCCCCCAUUGUGCAAUAUUCCCCACUGCUGCCUCCCGUAGGAGUUUGGGCCCGUGUCUCAGUCCCAAUGUGGCCGGUCACCCUCUCAGGUCGGCUACUGAUCGUCGGCUUGGUGGGCCGCUACCCCGCCAACUACCUAAUCAGACGCGGGUCCAUCUCAUACCACCGGAGUUUUUCACACAAGACCAUGCGGUCCCGUGCGCUUAUGCGGUAUUAGCAGUCAUUUCUAACUGUUAUCCCCCUGUAUGAGGCAGGUUACCCACGCGUUACUCACCCGUCCGCCCGCUCAGUCAAUCUUAAUUCCAUCCGUAAACUUCCCUCAAAAUCGCUUUCGCUCGACUUGCAUGUGUUAGGCACGCCGCCAGCGUUCACUCCUGACGACCAGGAUACAAACU